Long non-coding RNA from Amaranthus tricolor (Joseph's coat), 3837 nucleotides. RefSeq lists it as uncharacterized. Lineage: Eukaryota; Viridiplantae; Streptophyta; Magnoliopsida; Caryophyllales; Amaranthaceae. The transcript is spliced from 3 exons. The record is from RefSeq and is a predicted model, not a curated record.
UCCUUCCUCCUCUUCUCCCUCUUCUUUCUCUCCUUCUUCCUCUCUCUUCCCGUGCGCCUCCUUCCCAUUUUCCCCGACCAGCAGCCGCCCUCCCAAGCAGCAGCAAGGGGCUGCGUCACCUUCCCCAAACAGCAACGACCAACAUCUAGGCUGCCUCUGCUCGCGUCUGCUGCAGCCACGACCCCAGCCUGCGCUUCUCCCUUUUCUGCUGUGGAGGCUGCUCUUCUCCCUUCUCUCUUUAAUUCUUCAUAAUAAUAUGGUUUGUGUUUGUGUUAUUUAGGGUUCGAUUUUUUCGAAUUUGUUGGGGUUUCAUUUUUACUAAACUGAUUGUGUUCAAUCCUGCUUCAUUUUUACUCCUGCUUGCUGCUUCUCUGUGCGACUUCAGAGUGUGCCUUCUCCUUCCUCUUCUCUGUGGCGGCACCUAGAUUUUGCAGUUCAAUCUUCCUGAUCUUCAAUUUAAGCUUGUACUGUGUUCGAUUUUCAACUCCAUUAAUGGAUGAAAGUAUGUUAUACUGUGUUCCAUUAAUGGAUGAAGCUUGUAAUGUUUUACAGUGUUAGCCAUAAAUUAGUUUUUAUAUUGUAAUUUUGUAAUAUUGUAAUUUUUGGGUCAAAUGGGUCAAAUGACCUGAAAUAUAUGGGUUCAGGGUUUCAAUUUUUGACCCAUUUAAUUAAAUGGGUCAGGUUCAGGUCAAGGGUCUAUUGACCCAUUUAUAUAUGACCCGAACCUGAAAACGACCCAACCCGACCUGUUUGACACCCCUAAUUAAUGUAAAGAGCAUCUGCAUGUUAAGCAGAAGGUUUGAGGUUCGACCCCUACUGGUACAGGUAUUAACUAGGGGGUUUCUUGACUGCGUGCAUCCUCUUUACUACCUCGUUGAGGGAAACAUGUAUGACUUGUCUGCAUCUUUCAGGAAAAAAAAUACCCCCCACUCGAACCCUGCCUUUUGCGGGAUACUGGGAGUGUCCUUCCUUUUUACUAAAGUAACUCAUUAAAUCAUAUUUAUUUCUUAUUUAUGUAAAGCUGUAAAUGAUUUUUACUACCAAGGGUCAUUUGAAAACAAUAUCUUAAUUAUCUUUUUAUCGCUUAUGACUUAUGAGUAUAUAACAAGAGUAAAAUUGGGUAUAUUAAAUUUCCCUCUCUAACUAAGAGCUUAAUACCAUUGGGGAAAUAAUAUAUGAAAUAACGUCUCGUAUUGUUUAUUUUUUUCCUUCCAUCUUCCCAACUUUUCUCACUUUUAUUUUAUUUAUUCUCUAUUAAAUGACAAUUGAUUCAUAGGGCUUGAAGUAAAUUUUUUAAAAAAAUCUUUGUCCUGUUUAUGACUUGUAGGGGGACCGCGGGAUUUUAAUUUUAGGAAAAAUUAUCAGGAAUAGUAUAAUUUUUUAUUUAUUUUUCUAUAAUAAUAUGAAUUUUUAAUUAACUAUGAAUAAUAACAACUUAAAGGGUUUUUUCUUAGAAAAUCCUUAACAUGUUAAAAAUCAAACUAUAAGCGAUUAUAAGACAAAAAAAUUGGUAAAUAGUUAAUAAACUAAAGUUGGUAUUAUUCUAGGAAAAUAACCCACUAAGUUAGUAUUAUUCAUGGUUAAUCAAUAAUUAGUAUUAUUAUAAAAAAAUUAAUAAAAAAUUAUAUCAUUUACGUUAAUUUUUCCAUAAUUUUAUUAUUAUACUAACAAAUUCCGACAUAAUAUGCUUCCAGGAUACUUAUGUGCAUUAAUUAACAUGAAAUCUAGGUUUCUAGGAUGCACGAUUAUCAUAAUAAUAUUAAAUACUCACCAAGUACCCUAUUGACAACCGGAGCAACGGAAAACUAAAAUAUUAUACUUUCUCAAUUUUGAAAUAUUUGGAGCACGUAUUUAUUGUUCAAGCUUAUUUUAUAUAUUACGGUUAAAUGUGUAAGAAAAAAUAUAAUCAAGUGAGAUCUUGUUUGAAUCGUCUAAUCGUUUACUUUCAUAAUAUAAAUUUUUUAUAAUUUUUAAAUGUGUAUAGUUUAAUAUAUAAAUGAAUAAAAUAACACAGUAAAUUGCGUAAAAAGUCAAAUAUAGCAAGUAUAUUGAAAUGGAGAAAGUAUAUAGUACUCCUAGACCUGGGAAAAUCUGAUCCGACCCGAAAAUGAACCCGGGACCCGACCCGACAAAACCCGAACCCGACCGACCCGAAAGCGACUUAAUCCGAUACAUGACCGACCCGAUAAUUACCCGACCGAAAACCGACCCGUUUUGACAGAUUUAAUAUCAAUUUUUAGAGUAAUUUCAAUGUUCAAAUUCAUUUCAAAUAAAAUUUUAGUUUUCAAAGUAUCUCAACAUAUUGAGUAUACCACUUGAACCCUAAAACUCAUCAAUAGAUCUCAAAAAACACGUAUUUAACGUCUUUUUAGCCAUCGUAAUUAUUUUUCUUUAAAAACAGGACGUUAUAAUCAUCUUAAUUGAAUACAUGUAUCUUGUUAAAUCAGUCAAAUGAGUUUUUAAUUCUUCUACAUUUCAGUAAGCAAAUCAAUAUAAUUUAUACGAACGUUUCGCACGUUUGAAUGAGCUUUUCAAAAAACGAAUGUCGCUACCCUAAAUUAUAAAACGCGUAUCUUAUAAGACGAAAUAAGUACUUAGUUAGUUGUAUAUCUUUCCAACAUGAAAAUUGUGAAGAUAAUUUUAACGUCAUUUUUAUCUAACGUUACAAUUAUAAUAAACAAAAUAACUUUUAUAAAGCGCGUAUCUCACAAGUCUUUCAAAAUAAGUAUUAAUUCCCCUAUAUUUUCUAGCACGUAAAUGAACCUGACAUACCAACUAUUUUUUAAAAAUCGUACAUGUAAUUUCUCUAAUGAUUUUUUUUAGACAUUUUAAUGAUUUUUUUUUUUAUGUUGAAUUAGUUGAUUGGAUAUUCUAAUGUUUUAUGGUAACCCGUUGGGUCAAUCCGAACCUACCCGAAACCCAGAGUGAUCCGACCUGAAACUGACCUGAUCCAAAACUGACCCGACCCGAAAAUGACCCGACCGAAAUUGAUCCGACCCAAAACCCGACCGACCGACCGUUUUCCCAGGUCUAAGUACUCCCCUUUGUUUCACUGAUUUUGUCGCAUUUAUUUUUUUAACAUUAUUCACAGUUUACUUUUAACUUAUAUUUUACUGUUAAUCUAUAAGUUAAAACAUAAUUAAGAAAUAUCGAUAAUUAUAGUACCACAUUUUCACCCGACAACUCUUCUGCUUGCCUGUUCUGUUAAACACUAAGCUAUAUCUCCUAUUUUUACCAAUUUUGCAUUAAAUGAUCUUAUAAAUCUUUCAAAAGAUUCAGCUACAUUAAUAAAUUAACUGUAACUGUAUUUUUAACUAAAACCAAAAAUAAAGUCAGUGUAGGGUUAUUACUAUACCUACCAAACAGUCUUGCAUGGCCUACCUCUAGUUUUGUGAGGUGAUAAUGAUCAUUUUAAUGGUUGAAAUUUUAAAUUAAGACAUAAAUACUGUAAAUAUAUAUAAUUAGAUGAUCGUAAUUCGCAAAAAAAUGCAAGAGUGUAAUUUGUAAAUUAUCCUAUUUUAAAAACAUAUUACAAAAACAUGUAUCACAAAGUCAACUAGUACGAUCAUUAUUGUUUCAAAAUUCAAAAUAUAAAUAAAUUGCUAAAAUUUGAAUAUUAAGUCGCAUUGAGAAGAACCAAAACCAAAAAAGCUCCCAUAGUUUUCACCAAAUGAAGUAGAAGUACAUUGUAAUUUGUAAGUUAUAAAGAUAAGAAUCAUAAAUAGGCUCGUGCAUGAGUGAUAUUACAAAAAUGAAAAAAUAUACUUAGCUGUUCUAUUGAAAUUGUAGCAUUUUGUAAAUCUAUAUGAGAGCUUUUAAAAAUAAAUGUUAAAAUUC